AGUGAACGCUGGCGGUAGGCCUAACACAUGCAAGUCGAACGGCAGCACAGUAAGAGCUUGCCCUUACGGGUGGCGAGUGGCGGACGGGUGAGGAAUACAUAGGAAUCUACUUUUUCGUGGGGGAUAACGUAGGGAAACUUACGCUAAUACCGCAUACGACCUACGGGUGAAAGCAGGGGAUCUUCGGACCUUGCGCGAUUGAAUGAGCCGAUGUCGGAUUAGCUAGUUGGCGGGGUAAAGGCCCACCAAGGCGACGAUCCGUAGCUGGUCUGAGAGGAUGAUCAGCCACACUGGAACUGAGACACGGUCCAGACUCCUACGGGAGGCAGCAGUGGGGAAUAUUGGACAAUGGGCGCAAGCCUGAUCCAGCCAUACCGCGUGGGUGAAGAAGGCCUUCGGGUUGUAAAGCCCUUUUGUUGGGAAAGAAAAGCAGCAGGUUAAUCCCCCGCUGUUCUGACGGUACCCAAAGAAUAAGCACCGGCUAACUUCGUG
This 492-nucleotide ribosomal RNA is filed under the name uncultured bacterium. Its description in RNAcentral is "partial 16S ribosomal RNA". It matches the Rfam family "Bacterial small subunit ribosomal RNA", at positions 29 to 507 of the family's 1533-position model. The record is from RNAcentral.